AAGACUAAAACGCAGCUAUAAUGUCAGUGUCAGAAGCGUUCUUGUGUGUUUGUUCUCCAGGUCUCUACCACGCUCUUGUGAUCUGCUUCGGUCUUGGGGGUCAUGUUGCAUUGGAGCAGUAGUCCUGGAUACCUGGCAGAAGAAACAGAAAAUGCUUCAGAUAAAUCUGCUGAGAUCUAAUCAGGAAUUAGACCAGCCUAACAAACAAGUCAUCAAAAAAAAAAAAAGGGACU
Molecule: long non-coding RNA, 233 nt
Organism: Xiphophorus maculatus (southern platyfish)
Lineage: Eukaryota; Metazoa; Chordata; Actinopteri; Cyprinodontiformes; Poeciliidae
Exons: 2
Source: RefSeq, a predicted model, not a curated record